AGCAGCCGCGGUAAUUCCAGCUCCAAUAGCGUAUAUUAAAGUUGUUGCAGUUAAAAAGCUCGUAGUUGAAUUUCGGGGUCAAUAGGUUGGUCGUGCCAAUGGUAUGUACUGGCUUUAUUGAUUCCUACCUCUUGACGAACUGUGAUGCCAUUAAUUUGGUGUUGCAGGAAAUCAGGACUGUUACCUUGAAAAAUUAGAGUGUUUAAAGCAGGCUUACGCUUGAAUACAUUAGCAUGGAAUAAUGAAAUAGGACGUUUGAACCUAUUUUGUCGGUUUCUAGGAUCGACGUAAUGAUUAAUAGGGAUAGUUGGGGGCAUUAGUAUUCAAUUGUCAGAGGUGAAAUUCUUGGAUUUAUUGAAGACUAACUACUGCGAAAGCAUUUGCCAAGGAUGUUUUCACUAAUCAAGAACGAAAGUUAGGGGAUCGAAGACGAUCAGAUACCGUCGUAGUCUUAACCACAAACUAUGCCGACUAGGGAUCGGAUGAUGUUAAUUUUUAUGUACUCAUUCGGCGCCUUAAC
Molecule: ribosomal RNA, 520 nt
Filed under: uncultured Glomus
Lineage: Eukaryota; Fungi; Glomeromycota; Glomeromycetes; Glomerales; Glomeraceae
Description: SSU rRNA
Rfam family: Eukaryotic small subunit ribosomal RNA
Source: RNAcentral